AUCUAUGAAUGUGGAUCUUUGGAAAUUAAAAAGUCCCAUAUGCAGCGAAAAAUCUGGUGCUGCCAAGAAGAGUAUUUUUAGAGUUGCGUGGCAUCGAAGGCCUGGAGCGGAGUGAGGUAUAUGAAGCAAGAGUAAGAUCAAAAGCUGUAUUCCAGAGCAAGAGGAGCAUUUGCCAGAGAAGUGAGGAGAGCUAGAUGAUCCACAGCGGUUCAGCGUGGGCUCGCCUAUACACUUUUUCCGGGUUUGAUGUCAACCGAAGGGUGGCUAAUGAGAGACGACAAGCGACUGACGAAGGGACGAGAGAUCAGACACACUCACCCCAAAGAUGGAAAGCAGGAUGAACUCAUUGACGGCGAACAAUGUCACCUCGAAAAUGGCCAUAACAAGUAGUUGCACAGGACUGGUCUUCCCCAAAACGGCGCCAAAAGAGAUCAGCACGGAACCAGUGCAGAAGUCUGCAUUUAUCAUGCUGCAGAACAAACAUAUUCACUUUGAGCAAUGACAAGCAAAACAGAUGCAACCACUCCCAUAAAG
This is a long non-coding RNA of Cyprinus carpio (common carp), 534 nucleotides long. RefSeq lists it as uncharacterized. The transcript is spliced from 3 exons. Lineage: Eukaryota; Metazoa; Chordata; Actinopteri; Cypriniformes; Cyprinidae. The record is from RefSeq and is a predicted model, not a curated record.